GUGAAUCAUCGAAUUUUUGAACGCAAAUUGCACUCUCUGGUAUUCCGGAGAGCAAGCCUGUUUGAGGGUUAGUGUAACUAAAAAUCGGAGUGGUUGUUGCAUUUCGUGGUGACGCAAUGGAUUUGGGUCGUAUUGCCUUCGUUUAAGUGACCUAAAAUUUUGCAUGAUUUUGUUCGAACGUAUUUAAAUGAUGUUACGUACGAUAGCGAUAAAGAAUGC
RNAcentral lists this unclassified non-coding RNA (219 nucleotides) under Glomus sp. Its description in RNAcentral is "partial contains 5.8S ribosomal RNA and internal transcribed spacer 2". The stretch from base 1 to 71 matches the Rfam family "5.8S ribosomal RNA", at positions 84 to 154 of the family's 154-position model. The record is from RNAcentral. Lineage: Eukaryota; Fungi; Glomeromycota; Glomeromycetes; Glomerales; Glomeraceae.